Molecule: long non-coding RNA, 1065 nt
Filed under: Vulpes vulpes (red fox)
Lineage: Eukaryota; Metazoa; Chordata; Mammalia; Carnivora; Canidae
Description: lncRNA (ENSVVUG00000016350.1)
Source: RNAcentral
GGAAAACAGGGCUGCUUCCAAGGGGUCCCCAACCCCCAUACACUGUGCCCCAACGCCCUGGCACUGCCUCUUCCUUGGCUGCUUGCAGACAGGGCCAAGGAGAGCUGGAGGUGGGCUGUAAAACGGGCAGGGCUGGAGCUUGGAAGAGGUGUCCUGGGAAGGGCUCCCCAGGUGCAGCCCCUCCCCCAGAGUGGGCCAGGGCCAGCUGGGAGGCCCAGCCCAGGCCCAGAGGGGAGAAGGAGGAGCAGAGGGGGAAGGCUCCGAGGUCACGGGGAGGGAUGUGUGGGCUGGGCUGGAACAGCUGUGGCGCUGUGGCACCAGGAGUGGGGCUUGGAGAGGGCUGGGUGGGUGGGCAGAAGGAAACGGCCAGUUUCUCCUUCCCUGAGCUUGGGAACUGAGGAAGCCCCUGGGGGGGCAGGGUGUCUCCUGCGGGUCUCUAGCAUCAGCUCGGCCCCAGCUUCCCUGCCCCAGCUUCCCUCGGGGCUGGAAGACCCUCAGGAAGGCUGCCUCGAAAGCCCACAGCUCGGGCCCUGGCCCUGGCCUAGACGGAGAGCCACGAGAGCCCAGGCCUUGGCCAGGUCCCCGGCUGGCCUGGCUGCCCCCUCAGUGUCAAGCGUUCCCUUCAGAGCCAAGAUCCUGGGCUGUGAUGGCUGGGGGCCCAGGGCUCCUCCCAGGAUCCCUUCCCGCUUCCCAGGCCCCAGGGCAGGGCCAGGAUCCCUGCCACCAUCACUGCCCCGGGGGGCCAGGCCAGGCGGGCCCUCCUGGACAGGCGGACGGGCAGCAUGCUGCCCUGCUGUGGCCCGAGGACCGGACCCGCCAGGGCAGUGUGCCAGGGCCUCCAGGUGCCAGCCUAGAUUCCAGCCCCAAUCCAGGGGGCCUGCGGGAAGCGGGGUGCCGGCAUCUCCCUCCCUCGGGAUGCACCUGCCUCACCCCUCCCCCACUCCUCCAGACCCUCCUGCGGGCCGCCGGGUCCCCUGCCCCCUUCACUUGGCCGGGUUCUUCUGCUUCCACGCAGACAGCAGUGGACGGACAAGUGCCAGCCCGGCCUCCGGCUCCCGGUCCUGA